This 452-nucleotide ribosomal RNA is filed under the name uncultured Streptococcus sp. Its description in RNAcentral is "bacterial SSU rRNA". It matches the Rfam family "Bacterial small subunit ribosomal RNA", at positions 930 to 1382 of the family's 1533-position model. The record is from RNAcentral. Lineage: Bacteria; Bacillati; Bacillota; Bacilli; Lactobacillales; Streptococcaceae.
CGGUGGAGCAUGUGGUUUAAUUCGAUGCAACGCGAAGAACCUUACCAGGUCUUGACAUCCCACGAAUUCAUCUGAAAGGAUGGAGUGCCUUCGGGAGCGUGGAGACAGGUGGUGCAUGGUUGUCGUCAGCUCGUGUCGUGAGAUGUUGGGUUAAGUCCCGCAACGAGCGCAACCCUUGCUAUUAGUUGCUAACAGGCAGAGCUGAGCACUCUAAUGGGACUGCCGGUGACAAGCCGGAGGAAGGUGGGAUGACGUCAAAUCAUCAUGCCCCUUAUGACCUGGGCUACACACGUGCUACAAUGGUUGGUACAACGAGUUGCGAGUCGGUGACGGCGAGCUAAUCUCUUAAAGCCAAUCUCAGUUCGGAUUGUAGGCUGCAACUCGCCUACAUGAAGUCGGAAUCGCUAGUAAUCGCGGAUCAGCACGCCGCGGUGAAUACGUUCCCGGGCCUU